AAGCGCACGCAGAAAUCACGGUCGUAGAGAUAGAGAUAUGAUCACAGCCGUCCAUUCUAGCUGCUUCCAUUCGAGUACAACGCACGUGCGAACAAGAAGUCCAUGGAAACCCACCUCACUCUCUCCUCCCAAAAACUAUUCGUUCUCUCUUCGUUCGGUAGGUGGGAAAGGAUUCGGUGCCGACGGAGGUGCUGGAAUCGGUGAGGAAGAGUCUCUCCAACAACAAGCUUAUCAUGGGAAGGGCCAAGCGCGGCAUCCAUGCGGGCCGUCACAUCCAGUUCGGCAACAAGGUCAGUGAGGAUGGCGGCAACAAGUACUUCUUCCAUUGUCGCCUCCCCAUUCCGUGAUUUCUUUUCAAGGUCUAGAUGGGCAUGGACACCUAAUAUACAAGCAAAGUGCCUGCUCAGUUAUAUCCAUGACCGAGACAUCCAGGUCAAGGUUACAACACACUCUCAGGUGCAUUGACAAAGCUGAUGGCAUAGACGAGAACCUUCUGAAAACACCCUACCAUAAAAUGGAGACAGAGAUGGGUUUAUUUUGGAAGACCAAGAUUGAGAAAAUGUAUGAGCAGCUUGGGAAUAUGGAAGUGGGUUUCUACUCUCCUGAAGAGGAAGCCAAGACUGAAAAGGGCUUUGAGGAGCUCAAGAUCACCAAGAGGGAGGCUCAAAGGGAAGCAAGAAGGGCCCUGGCAAAGCAAAAGCAGAUAAAAGAAGGAAGAGACAGAGAUGGGUUUAUUUUGGAAGACCAAGAUCGAGAAAAUGUAUGAGCAGCUUGGGAAUAUGGGUUUCUUCUCUUCUGAAGAGGUCUCCAAGAGGGAGGGUCGAAGGGAAGCAAGAAGAGCCCUGGCAAAGCAAAGGCAGAUAAAAGAAGGAAGAGACGAUGCUGAUGAGACAAUAGAAGCAAAGCAGAUUGGGGAAAGAACAACUGAUGAUGCGAAGGAGGCUGGGCAAGAUACUCCAAAACUGUCAUGAUUGAAUUGAGUUGAAGAGGAAAGCAGGUCAUGAGGAGAGGAUCAAUGAAUGCCAUCACAAGCAUAGGGGCCUGGCCAAGGCCUCCGAAGUGGGGAAGUUGAUUGUUGUUAUUAAUGAAAUGGCUUAAGCUUUACCAAAAGAAAAUCAAAUGGCUUAAGUAGGUCCAGUCUUUUAACUGCAUGGAAGGAUGUUGUUUUAUCUGUUGUUUGUAACUGGGCAUGACGUUUGGCCCUUAACUUUUGGAUUAGUACCAUCCAUAUUGGUAUUGUUAGUUGCAUACCAGAUUGAUAAAUUGCACAAGCCUUUUUUUUGUUUCGGUGAAUGUCGCUUCAUGGUUCAUGCAAGUUUAACCAUCAUACUCUGCAUUUACUUAAUUUCCUCUGAUGGAUUUA
Elaeis guineensis (African oil palm) is the source of this 1363-nucleotide non-coding RNA. Lineage: Eukaryota; Viridiplantae; Streptophyta; Magnoliopsida; Arecales; Arecaceae. The record is from RefSeq and is a predicted model, not a curated record.